RNAcentral lists this ribosomal RNA (412 nucleotides) under Lactarius austrotorminosus. Its description in RNAcentral is "eukaryotic LSU rRNA". The stretch from base 1 to 105 matches the Rfam family "5.8S ribosomal RNA", at positions 50 to 154 of the family's 154-position model. Lineage: Eukaryota; Fungi; Basidiomycota; Agaricomycetes; Russulales; Russulaceae. The record is from RNAcentral.
GAAAUGCGAUACGUAAUGUGAAUUGCAGAAUUCAGUGAAUCAUCGAAUCUUUGAACGCACCUUGCGCCCCUUGGUAUUCCGAGGGGCACACCCGUUUGAGUGUCGUGAAAACCUCAACCUUCUCGGUUUCUUCUGGACGCCGAAGGAGGCUUGGACUUUGGAGGCCUUUUGCUGGCGUCUCUCACGCCAGCUCCUCUUAAAUGUAUUAGCGGGGUCCUCUUUGCCGAUCCUCGACGUGUGAUAAGAUGUUUUCCAUGUCUUGGUUUCUGGCUCUGUCGCUUUUGGGACCCGCUUCUAACCGUCUUGACCUCGCGUCGAGACAACGUUUGGGUGCGUCUCCCUUCUCGGGAAACGCUCUCGACCACGCGAACCCCUUGACCUCAAAUCGGGUGAGACUACCCGCUGAACUUAA